ACCCAGCUGACGAGUCCCAAAUAGGAUUAAAUGCGCGUUGUCCUGGAU
Molecule: non-coding RNA, 48 nt
Filed under: Trichobilharzia regenti
Lineage: Eukaryota; Metazoa; Platyhelminthes; Trematoda; Strigeidida; Schistosomatidae
Source: RNAcentral